Molecule: ribosomal RNA, 448 nt
Filed under: uncultured Acidovorax sp.
Lineage: Bacteria; Pseudomonadati; Pseudomonadota; Betaproteobacteria; Burkholderiales; Comamonadaceae
Description: bacterial SSU rRNA
Rfam family: Bacterial small subunit ribosomal RNA
Source: RNAcentral
GCGGUGGAUGAUGUGGUUAAUUCGAUGCAACGCGAAAACCUUACCACCUUGACAUGUACGGAAUCCUUAGAGAUAGAGGAGUGCUCGAAAGAGAGCCGUAACACAGGUGCUGCAUGGCUGUCGUCAGCUCGUGUCGUGAGAUGUUGGGUUAAGUCCCGCAACGAGCGCAACCCUUGUCAUUAGUUGCUACAUUCAGUUGGGCACUCUAAUGAGACUGCCGGUGACAAACCGGAGGAAGGUGGGGAUGACGUCAAGUCCUCAUGGCCCUUAUAGGUGGGGCUACACACGUCAUACAAUGGAUGGUACAAAGGGUCGCCAACCCGCGAGGGGGAGCCAAUCCCAUAAAGCCAUUCGUAGUCCGGAUCGCAGUCUGCAACUCGACUGCGUGAAGUCGGAAUCGCUAGUAAUCGUGGAUCAGAAUGUCACGGUGAAUACGUUCCCGGGUCUU